RNAcentral lists this ribosomal RNA (437 nucleotides) under uncultured bacterium. RNAcentral describes it as "partial 16S ribosomal RNA". It matches the Rfam family "Bacterial small subunit ribosomal RNA", at positions 28 to 507 of the family's 1533-position model. The record is from RNAcentral.
GAUGAACGCUGGCGGCAUGCUUUACACAUGCAAGUCGGACGGGAAGUGGUGUUUCCUGUGGCGGGCGGGUGAGUAACGCGUAAGAACCUGCCCUUGGGAGGGGGACAACAGCUGGAAACGGCUGCUAAUACCCCGUAGGCUGAGGAGCGAAAGGAGGCAUCCGCCCAAGGAGGGGCUCGCGUCUGAGUAGCUAGUUGGGGAGGUACUAGCUUACCAAGGCCGUGGUCAGUAGCUGGUCCGAGAGGAUGAUCGGCCACACUGGGACUGAGACAAGGCCCAGACUCCGACGGGAGGCAGCAGUGGGGAAUUUUCCGCAAUGGGCGAAAGCCUGACGGAGCAAUGCGUCGUGGAGAUAAAAGGCCUACGGGUCAUGAGCUUCUUUUCCUGGAGAAGAAACAAUGACGGUAACUGGGGAAUAAGCAUCGGCUAACUCUGUG